UUGGGGCCUACUCAUUUGUGCCAUGGCUAGCUACUGAAUUUAGGUUGGGGCCUACUCAUUUGUGCCAUGGCUAGCUACUGAAUUUAGGUUGGGGCCACCUCAUUUGUGCCAUGGCUAGCUACUGAAUUUAGGUUGGGGCCUACUCAUUUGUGCCAUGGCUAGCUACUGAAUUUAGGUUGGGGCCUACUCAUUUGUGCCAUGGCUAGCUACUGAAUUUAGGUUGGGGCCUACUCAUUUGUGCCAUGGCUAGCUACUGAAUUUAGGUUGGGGCCUACUCAUUUGUGCCAUGGCUAGCUACUGAAUUUAGGUUGGGGCCUACUCAUUUGUGCCAUGGCUAGCUACUGAAUUUAGGUUGGGGCCUACUCAUUUGUGCCAUGGCUAGCUACUGAAUUUAGGUUGGGGCCUACUCAUUUGUGCCAUGGCUAGCUACUGAAUUUAGGUUGGGGCCUACUCAUUUGUGCCAUGGCUAGCUACUGAAUUUAGGUUGGGGCCUACUCAUUUGUGCCAUGGCUAGCUACUGAAUUUAGGUUGGGGCCUACUCAUUUGUGCCAUGGCUAGCUACUGAAUUUAGGUUGGGGCCUACUCAUUUGUGCCAUGGCUAGCUACUGAAUUUAGGUUGGGGCCUACUCAUUUGUGCCAUGGCUAGCUACUGAAUUUAGGUUGGGGCCUACUCAUUUGUGCCAUGGCUAGCUACUGAAUUUAGGUUGGGGCCUACUCAUUUGUGCCA
Long non-coding RNA from Oncorhynchus keta (chum salmon), 727 nucleotides. RefSeq lists it as uncharacterized. NCBI's taxonomy places the organism in Eukaryota, Metazoa, Chordata, Actinopteri, Salmoniformes, Salmonidae. The record is from RefSeq and is a predicted model, not a curated record. The transcript has 3 exons.